This 547-nucleotide unclassified non-coding RNA is filed under the name Hevea brasiliensis (rubber tree). The record is from RNAcentral. Lineage: Eukaryota; Viridiplantae; Streptophyta; Magnoliopsida; Malpighiales; Euphorbiaceae.
CGCAACCGUCGUUUGCUAGAAUUAUUUGUCCCUUUCGUCACUGGAAACUCUUUUUCUUCAUCCAAGCAAUCUGGUGUGAACUCCUCAUCAUCUUCAUCUACUUCAUCAUCCUCAUUGUCAUCUUCUCUAUAUGAAACUCUCUUUCUCUUUCUAGAGUUCACAGUUCCUUUUUCUUUUCUGCUUGGUGCUUUUGACCGAGCAACCCUUUUCACCUUCCUCCUCUUCAAUUCCUCCUCCUCCUCUUCAUAUUCACCUAAACUCUCUUCUGAAUCAUCUCCAACAAAGGAAGAAUAUCCAUCUUCUGACUCAUCAAACUCCUCAUCGUCAUCAACUGUGUAAUCCUCAUCUGACUGAUCUGAAGCUCUAUAUGUGGAUCCAGCCUUUCUCCUAUCACUAGUCUUGCGUCCACCGUUGCCUCCCCUCGCCAUCCUUUCUCACAACCAGGGGGAGCACAAACCGACAACUUGAAUCAGAUCUAACUAUGUGAUGAUAAUCUCAUGUACCACUAGAUCCACCGCUUAAUUAGACAAGGAAGUGAAUGCACCUG